UACGGGGGGGGCAAGCGUUGUUCGGAAUUACUGGGCGUAAAGGGCUCGUAGGUGGCCAACUAAGUCAGGCGUGAAAUCCCCGGGCUUAACCUGGGAACUGCGUUUGUGACUGCCAGGCUAGAGUACGGCAGAGGGGGGUGGAAUUCCACGUGUAGCAGUGAAAUGCGUAGAGAUGUGGAGGAACACCAAUGGCGAAGGCAGCCCCCUGGGUCGAUACUGACGCUCAUGCACGAAAGCGUGGGUAGCAAACAGG
RNAcentral lists this ribosomal RNA (253 nucleotides) under uncultured bacterium. RNAcentral's name for it is "partial 16S ribosomal RNA". It matches the Rfam family "Bacterial small subunit ribosomal RNA", at positions 524 to 776 of the family's 1533-position model. The record is from RNAcentral.